CUCUCUUCCAACACUUAGACAAAUUUCAUUCUCAGUCUUUCCUUCCUAUGGUGAACACCGAAAAACUCUGGACCUCUAACACCUUCUGCUUCCGCAAAAUGCUCCUCUAAAGCACCAUUGACGAGUGCCAAUCUUCAGGUCAAGCUCGCCGAAGAAGCGAAGUCAGAACACUUCCAAGCUCCCUCCUCGUUCCGCGACUUUAGUUUAGACUUUUCUCCGACCCCCUUUUCAGCUAAUUGUGCGUGGGGAAGAUAAUACUCUUGGCCAAAUCGCAUCCGAAACACUUGCGAUCUGGAGUAUUAACAGUGUUAGGGAUGGUCAGAACCGGCUUUCUUUGAGGAGCUAUGAAAUGCGAACAUAUUUUGACUGCAUUAAUUUGGUUGGAUGAAAGAAAAAAAGGAGAGGAGGUCUUCGGCUGAACGGAAAAAGGGAGGAGGUUUGGAGAAAGGAAAAAGAAAACAGAGCAAAAAGAGAGAGAGAGAGCCAGAGAGUAGACGGAAGAAAAAUUGAAAAAAGAGGGGUGGAAAAAGGGAAGAGCUUCGACAAGAAAACAGAGCAAAGGAAAACCAAGAAUCGAAGGAAUCAGCAAGGAGUUGCUGUUGCCGCUGCUGCCACCAGAAUCCACCACCACCACCUGCAAGUCCUCACCGCAAAAGCUUGUCUUUUUGUUAAAAGCCAGUGCAAUGUGGAUGCAAGGAAUGGUUUGGACUUUGGAGAUGUGGACUGGACAUGGAUAAAACUUGGAUGAAGAUUAGCAAUAGGAAGGACAAGGCUUAUGAACUCGGAGUCAAAAAUUUCCUCAAGUUUGCAUAUUCUCAAAAAGUUGACACUCAGAAAAUCCCAUGCCCAUGUACACAAUGCAAUAAUUUUUGUAACCAAACUAAAACAGUUGUGGAGGAUCACUUAUUGACUCAAGGCAUUCGUAAAAGCUACACAAGAUGGAUACACCAUGGGGAACAAUUUCGACACCAAAAUUGUGGGGAUAGUACUAAACAUGGGGAUGGAGAGGAGGAUGUCAAACCAGAAUUGAUGGUAUAACACUAAUCUAGCCAUAACGUACUGUCAAGGCAUUUUAGAUGGCGAUGACCUUUUCUUUGGUUCUAACACGAUUCCCAAGAAGAAGAAGCCAGUCAUUGCUGUGAAGAUGGUUUUUGAAUUGAAGACUACAAGGCCUAUCGUGCUCAUGUUUUGUUCUAGAUGGGAAUCGUGCUCAUAUUUUUGUAUAGAACUUUACUACUCUCUAUUGUGGAUGGGAAAUCACUAGUAUUGUAACUGAAUGGCUUAUUUUGGAUGGUGCAUGGUUUAUGACUCAUUUGAGGCAACAUUUAUAUAUAUAUGUAUUUCGGUUGAUCUUCUAUUGGAAAUGAAUGUUGGUUUUCUUUUC
This is a non-coding RNA of Coffea arabica (coffee), 1384 nucleotides long. Lineage: Eukaryota; Viridiplantae; Streptophyta; Magnoliopsida; Gentianales; Rubiaceae. The record is from RefSeq and is a predicted model, not a curated record.